GGGAGGCAGCAGUAGGGAAUCUUCGGCAAUGGACGAAAGUCUGACCGAGCAACGCCGCGUGAGUGAAGAAGGUUUUCGGAUCGUAAAACUCUGUUGUUAGAGAAGAACAAGGAUGAGAGUAACUGUUCAUCCCUUGACGGUAUCUAACCAGAAAGCCACGGCUAACUACGUGCCAGCAGCCGCGGUAAUACGUAGGUGGCAAGCGUUGUCCGGAUUUAUUGGGCGUAAAGCGAGCGCAGGCGGUUUCUUAAGUCUGAUGUGAAAGCCCCCGGCUCAACCGGGGAGGGUCAUUGGAAACUGGGAGACUUGAGUGCAGAAGAGGAGAGUGGAAUUCCAUGUGUAGCGGUGAAAUGCGUAGAUAUAUGGAGGAACACCAGUGGCGAAGGCGGCUCUCUGGUCUGUAACUGACGCUGAGGCUCGAAAGCGUGGGGAGCAAACAGGAUUAGAUACCCUGGU
This 456-nucleotide ribosomal RNA is filed under the name uncultured bacterium. RNAcentral describes it as "bacterial SSU rRNA". It matches the Rfam family "Bacterial small subunit ribosomal RNA", at positions 343 to 791 of the family's 1533-position model. The record is from RNAcentral.